GGAUGUGAGUGUGAUCUGUCACCCCAUUGAUCUCCAGGGUUGAUUUUGGCUGAUCUGGCUGGCUAGGCGGGUGUCCCCUUCCUCCCUCACCGCUGCAUGUACGUCCCUCAGGAAGCUGGAUGGCCUUCCCCAAUAGAGGAGGACAGGUUUUUGUUCAAGGGUAUUCUAGUGGCUGCACUCCCCUGUUGGAACUUCCAAACAAGCUCUCAAGGUAGAGGCAUUCAGUCUGAGAGUUACUCUCUAGCCAUGUUGAGGAGAGCAU
Molecule: unclassified non-coding RNA, 262 nt
Organism: Cricetulus griseus (Chinese hamster)
Lineage: Eukaryota; Metazoa; Chordata; Mammalia; Rodentia; Cricetidae
Gene: 7SK
Rfam family: 7SK RNA
About the family: 7SK was discovered as an abundant small nuclear RNA in the mid-70s but a possible function has only recently been suggested. Two independent studies have found that 7SK RNA binds the CDK9/cyclin T complex (known as elongation factor P-TEFb).
Source: Ensembl